CAGAGUUAUACAACUCCCAUACCAUUUGUAAACUUUACUCAGUUAUGCCUCGGCGUGAACUGCGUACGGAGGCAGAGUGGUGUUACCCGGUAGCUUACCCUGUAGGUUACCCUGUAGCGCUACCCUGUAUCAACUCCCGCGCAGCCCGCCGGUGGUACACUAAACUCUUGUUUUAUUUUAUAUUCUGAGCGUAUUAUUUUAAUAAUUA
Molecule: unclassified non-coding RNA, 208 nt
Filed under: soil metagenome
Also listed under: 1 other name
Description: partial internal transcribed spacer 1
Source: RNAcentral